Molecule: ribosomal RNA, 119 nt
Filed under: Periophthalmus magnuspinnatus
Lineage: Eukaryota; Metazoa; Chordata; Actinopteri; Gobiiformes; Gobiidae
Source: RNAcentral
GUGGUUGGAAGUGCCUCCUUGUUCAAGCCUGAUCUCAUCUGUUCUCUAAAGCUAAGCAGGGUUGGGACUGGUUAGUACUUGGAUGGGAGACUGAGUGCCGCAGCAGUGGUCCUAGUGCA